AUACGUGGGUGACAAGCGUUAUCCGGAUUUACUGGGCGUAAAGGGCGUGUAGGCGGUCUUGCAAGUCAGAAGUGAAAUUCCUGAGCUCAACUCGGGCGCUGCUUCUGAAACUGCAGGACUUGAGUGCUGGAGGGGAUAGCGGAAUUCCUAGUGGAGCGGUAAAAUGCGCAGAUAUUAGGAAGAACACCGGUGGCGAAGGCGGCUAUCUGGACAGUAACUGACGCUGAGGCGCGAAAGCGUGGGGAGCAAACAGGAUUAGAUCCCCUGGUAGUCCACGCUGUAAACGAUGAAUACUAGGUGUAGGGGGUAUCGACUCCCUCUGUGCCGCAGUUAACACAAUAAGUAUUCCGCCUGGGGAGUACGGCCGCAAGGUUGAAACUCAAAUGAAUUGACGGGG
RNAcentral lists this ribosomal RNA (397 nucleotides) under uncultured bacterium. Its description in RNAcentral is "partial 16S ribosomal RNA". It matches the Rfam family "Bacterial small subunit ribosomal RNA", at positions 523 to 918 of the family's 1533-position model. The record is from RNAcentral.